RNAcentral lists this ribosomal RNA (497 nucleotides) under uncultured bacterium. Its description in RNAcentral is "partial 16S ribosomal RNA". It matches the Rfam family "Bacterial small subunit ribosomal RNA", at positions 28 to 507 of the family's 1533-position model. The record is from RNAcentral.
GAUGAACGCUGGCGGCGUGCCUAAUACAUGCAAGUCGAGCGAACGGACGAGAAGCUUGCUUCUCUGAUGUUAGCGGCGGACGGGUGAGUAACACGUGGAUAACCUACCUAUAAUACUGGGAUAACUUCGGGAAACCGUAGCUAAUACCGGAUAAUAUUUUGAACCGCAUGGUUCAAAAGUGAAAGACGGUCUUGCUGUCACUUAUAGAUGGAUCCGCGCUGCAUUAGCUAGUUGGUAAGGUAACGGCUUACCAAGGCAACGAUGCAUAGCCGACCUGAGAGGGUGAUCAGCCACACUGGAACUGAGACACGGUCCAGACUCCUACGGGAGGCAGCAGUAGGGAAUAUUCCGCAAUGGGCGAAAGCCUGACGGAGCAACGCCGCGUGAGUGAUGAAGUUCUUCGGAUCGUAAAACUCUGUUAUUAGGGAAGAACAUAUGUGUAAGUAACUGUGCACAUCUUGACGGUACCUAAUCAGAAAGCCACGGCUAACUACGUG